AGAGUUUGAUCAUGGCUCAGGAUGAACGCUGGCGGCGUGCUUAACACAUGCAAGUCGAACGAUGAUCCGGUGCUUGCACCGGGGAUUAGUGGCGAACGGGUGAGUAACACGUGAGUAACCUGCCCUUGACUCUGGGAUAAGCCUGGGAAACUGGGUCUAAUACCGGAUAUGACUCCUCAUCGCAUGGUGGGGGGUGGAAAGCUUUUGUGGUUUUGGAUGGACUCGCGGCCUAUCAGCUUGUUGGUGAGGUAAUGGCUCACCAAGGCGACGACGGGUAGCCGGCCUGAGAGGGUGACCGGCCACACUGGGACUGAGACACGGCCCAGACUCCUACGGGAGGCAGCAGUGGGGAAUAUUGCACAAUGGGCGAAAGCCUGAUGCAGCGACGCCGCGUGAGGGAUGACGGCCUUCGGGUUGUAAACCUCUUUCAGUAGGGAAGAAGCGAAAGUGACGGUACCUGCAGAAGAAGCGCCGGCUAACUACGUGCCAGCCGCCGCGGUAAUAC
This 505-nucleotide ribosomal RNA is filed under the name uncultured bacterium. RNAcentral describes it as "bacterial SSU rRNA". It matches the Rfam family "Bacterial small subunit ribosomal RNA", at positions 8 to 526 of the family's 1533-position model. The record is from RNAcentral.